RNAcentral lists this non-coding RNA (45 nucleotides) under Schistosoma mansoni. Lineage: Eukaryota; Metazoa; Platyhelminthes; Trematoda; Strigeidida; Schistosomatidae. The record is from RNAcentral.
AUCCAGCUGACGACUGCUGAAUAGGACGAAACGUGCGUCCUGGAU